Molecule: transfer RNA, 87 nt
Filed under: Acidobacteriota bacterium
Lineage: Bacteria; Pseudomonadati; Acidobacteriota
Description: tRNA-Leu
Rfam family: tRNA
About the family: Transfer RNA (tRNA) molecules are approximately 80 nucleotides in length. Their secondary structure includes four short double-helical elements and three loops (D, anti-codon, and T loops). Further hydrogen bonds mediate the characteristic L-shaped molecular structure. tRNAs have two regions of fundamental functional importance: the anti-codon, which is responsible for specific mRNA codon recognition, and the 3' end, to which the tRNAs corresponding amino acid is attached (by aminoacyl-tRNA synthetases). tRNAs cope with the degeneracy of the genetic code in two manners: having more than one tRNA (with a specific anti-codon) for a particular amino acid; and 'wobble' base-pairing, i.e. permitting non-standard base-pairing at the 3rd anti-codon position.
Source: RNAcentral
GCCGGGAUGGCGGAACGGGUAGACGCAGGGGACUUAAAAUCCCCUGGCCGACAGGCCGUGUGGGUUCGAGUCCCACUCCCGGUACCA